GCCAGACUCCUACGGGAGGCAGCAGUGAGGAAUAUUGGUCAAUGGUCGGGAGACUGAACCAGCCAAGCCGCGUGAGGGAUGAAGGUACAGAGUAUCGUAAACCUCUUUUGUCAGGGAACAAAGGUGGGGACUAGUCCCCGGAUGAGGGUACCUGAAGAAAAAGCAUCGGCUAACUCCGUGCCAGCAGCCGCGGUAAUACGGAGGAUGCGAGCGUUAUCCGGAUUUAUUGGGUUUAAAGGGUGCGCAGGCGGCCUGUUAAGUCAGCGGAAAAAGCCGGGGGCUCAACCCCGGGGAGCCGUUGAAACUGACGGUCUUGAGUGGGCGAGAAGUAUGCGGAAUGCGUGGUGUAGCGGUGAAAUGCAUAGAUAUCACGCAGAACUCCGAUUGCAAAGGCAGUAUACCGGCGCCCAACUGACGCUGAAGCACGAAAGCGUGGGUAUCGAACAGGAUUAGAUACCCCUGUAGC
Molecule: ribosomal RNA, 466 nt
Filed under: uncultured bacterium
Lineage: Bacteria
Description: bacterial SSU rRNA
Rfam family: Bacterial small subunit ribosomal RNA
Source: RNAcentral